GCCGCUUUAGCUCAGCAGGUAGAGCACCCCCGUGGUAAGGAGGAGGUCCUCAGUUCAACUCUGGGAAGCGGCU
RNAcentral lists this transfer RNA (73 nucleotides) under Lactobacillus sp. ESL0228. Its description in RNAcentral is "tRNA-Thr". It matches the Rfam family "tRNA". From Rfam's summary of the family: Transfer RNA (tRNA) molecules are approximately 80 nucleotides in length. Their secondary structure includes four short double-helical elements and three loops (D, anti-codon, and T loops). Further hydrogen bonds mediate the characteristic L-shaped molecular structure. tRNAs have two regions of fundamental functional importance: the anti-codon, which is responsible for specific mRNA codon recognition, and the 3' end, to which the tRNAs corresponding amino acid is attached (by aminoacyl-tRNA synthetases). tRNAs cope with the degeneracy of the genetic code in two manners: having more than one tRNA (with a specific anti-codon) for a particular amino acid; and 'wobble' base-pairing, i.e. permitting non-standard base-pairing at the 3rd anti-codon position. The record is from RNAcentral. RNAcentral also lists the same sequence under 3 other names. Lineage: Bacteria; Bacillati; Bacillota; Bacilli; Lactobacillales; Lactobacillaceae.